GUGAGGCUGCACCUGGCUUGUGGAAGCUCAUUACAGAGUCUUAAUGAUGCGCUGUGUUCCAUAAUUAGGAAACUUUUCAGCUCUCUGUCCAAUCUCCCUGUUUGGUUGCUGUAUUGGCUGGGGGCAGAGCAAGUACUUUUGGUUGGUUUGACAGCUUGAAUGCGAAGAGUGUCUGAGAGAUCUGUGAAGCACUCAUCGGAUGUGCCAGUGGAAGGUUCUGCAGGAGUUUACAUGAGGAUACACACAGGAUGAUAAUGGGAUAUGAGAAAGAUGUCCUGUACUCCUCUCCAGCCUGAUUGUCCCUCCACACCUGCCCUGCAUCAGCCUCGUCAGCCUUGUCCUGGUCCCAGUCUUUUCCCCCAGCCAAUCAGCUCCUUGCCUGUUCUCCUGUCUAGUCACCUGUUCCUUUUUCCCUCGUUAGAUCAGUUUGUAUUGAAGUCCCGUUGUUCUGUUCAGUCGUCGUUGGAUCAUCUGUUCUGUUUUGCUUUCUCUGCACUCCUGAGUCCUGUUCCUGAAUAAAUAUUCAUUCUUCA
Thunnus maccoyii (southern bluefin tuna) is the source of this 533-nucleotide long non-coding RNA. RefSeq lists it as uncharacterized. The transcript is spliced from 2 exons. The record is from RefSeq and is a predicted model, not a curated record. NCBI's taxonomy places the organism in Eukaryota, Metazoa, Chordata, Actinopteri, Scombriformes, Scombridae.